CACUCCCUUCUCCUCCUACAACCUUAAAGAAAAGGUUUCCUUGCAAUUCCAAUUCCAAUUCCAACUCCAACGCCAUCACAUGUUCUCUUCAAACACUCCACUUCCCCAAAAAGUACCAACCAACCUCCACAACCACAACCACAACAACAACAACCACUCCAGCAAGAGAAACCAAACCAGUAAUCGCUUCUCCCUCCGAAACAAAACACCCAUUACCUCAAAGUUGGAACUUCUCCAGAAAGCAGCGGCU
Molecule: long non-coding RNA, 250 nt
Filed under: Glycine max (soybean)
Lineage: Eukaryota; Viridiplantae; Streptophyta; Magnoliopsida; Fabales; Fabaceae
Description: long non-coding RNA (GMAX_LNC003568)
Source: RNAcentral